This 646-nucleotide unclassified non-coding RNA is filed under the name Hevea brasiliensis (rubber tree). Lineage: Eukaryota; Viridiplantae; Streptophyta; Magnoliopsida; Malpighiales; Euphorbiaceae. The record is from RNAcentral.
GCCAGAUUGUGCAAGGGCAAAGACAAUAUCACGUGCAGCAACUAUCUCAAUUAUCUUUGAUCUUUUCUUAAGAAAAGGAAGCACCAUGGCACAAUGCCCCUUAGGGUCAUGGGUGUCAUAUUCCUCCUGCAAUCGAAUAUUUCGAAAGCGCUCCUGAGCAUCGCUCAUACUGAAAGAACGGUCACGCUUUGAACAAAUCUCCCUCCGCUGUAACUUCUUGACGCUAUUCACAAACCCAUCAACCCCUCCACGAGAACGCUUCUUAGCCACCACCCUCCUACCACAACACGGACGAGGACUAGCAGAUAUUCUCCGCCCAUCCAUCUCAAAAUCGAACACAACACUAAGGAACAAAUUCUACAAAUCUUAACCCUAAUACAACUAAUUGCACAUCAUAUACACAACAUAACAGCUUCAAUGCACACUUUCUAUAGAGUUCUAAUGGAAGAUGUGGCUUUCAAUUAAAACCCUAAAUCUCAACGACCCAGAUGGAAAAUUUAGGGCUUUUCCACCCCCAACAAACAGGCCUACUCAAGAAUAGUUUCUCGUAUAGUUUCUUGAAUAAAACCGCUACAAAAACAAAGUAUAAUCUUCACUGGUAUUACAAAAAGUAGUGUUGGGAUUUGGCAAGAGGAGCCGGAGAUGA